RNAcentral lists this unclassified non-coding RNA (371 nucleotides) under fungal sp. Its description in RNAcentral is "partial internal transcribed spacer region". The stretch from base 1 to 46 matches the Rfam family "Eukaryotic small subunit ribosomal RNA", at positions 1786 to 1831 of the family's 1831-position model. The record is from RNAcentral. Lineage: Eukaryota; Fungi.
AAGUCGUAACAAGGUUUCCGUAGGUGAACCUGCGGAAGGAUCAUUAACACGCUCUUGAAAAUCCAUUAUUCAAACCAACCGCGAACCAAUUUUCUCCCUACGUGUGACGUACGCGGAAGGACUUCUUUCACGUCUCUCUCACGAUAGGCUAACUGCCUGUGUGGAUCCAUUCCAUACAGGUGCAACUUCUUAUUUUGACCCCAAUUCUUCAACCCUUUGUCUAUCAGUUCCUUCUGCCGUCUGACGGCCUGCUGGGAAUUGAACCUCUCUUGAGCCUGCGACUCCGCAGGUUCCAUUUGAUCCUCUUACGAGGCUCAUGAAUACAAAUAGUUGUAAACACACAACUCUUAGCAAUGGAUAUCUAGGUUCUC